RNAcentral lists this ribosomal RNA (468 nucleotides) under uncultured bacterium. Its description in RNAcentral is "partial 16S ribosomal RNA". It matches the Rfam family "Bacterial small subunit ribosomal RNA", at positions 28 to 507 of the family's 1533-position model. The record is from RNAcentral.
GACGAACGCUGGCGGCGUGCUUAACACAUGCAAGUCGAACGGAAAGGCCCUGCUUUUGUGGGGUGCUCGAGUGGCGAACGGGUGAGUAACACGCGAGUAACCUGCCCUUGACUUCGGGAUAACUUCAGGGAACUGGGGCGAAUACCGGACAGGAGCUCCUGCUGCAUGGUGGGGGAUGGUAAGUUUCGGCGGUUGGGGAUGGACUCGCGGCUUAUCAGCUUGUUGGUGGGGUAGUGGCUUACCAAGGCUUUGACGGGUAGCCGGCCUGAGAGGGUGACCGGCCACAUUGGGACUGAGAUACGGCCCAGACUCCUACGGGAGGCAGCAGUGGGGAAUAUUGCACAAUGGGCGGAAGCCUGAUGCAGCAACGCCGCGUGCGGGAUGACGGCCUUCGGGUUGUAAACCGCUUUCGCCUGUGACGAAGCGUGAGUGACGGUAAUGGGUAAAGAAGCACCGGCUAACUACGUG